RNAcentral lists this long non-coding RNA (17361 nucleotides) under Medicago truncatula (barrel medic). Its description in RNAcentral is "long non-coding RNA (MTRU_LNC003887)". The record is from RNAcentral. Lineage: Eukaryota; Viridiplantae; Streptophyta; Magnoliopsida; Fabales; Fabaceae.
UUAGGUUCAUCAUGUCAUGCAUGCAUGACUUUUAUUUUUGCAUAUAUCAAUAGUAAGUUGUGGAAUGCAUCUUCAAGAGGUCUUUUGUAAGUUCAGAGUUAGAGGAAAUGUUGAAGAAUACGUCUCGUGCUUCAGAGUUAGAGGCAAAAUACCAUCCAUAUUCGAUAUUAGGAUUAGGAUAACGAGCACAAAAACUCCCACUUUUCUUCUUUGUACAAUCAACAUGAGACUGGCAUAAAUUAGGAUGUUCCUCGACCAUCUUCAUAAUAGAUGAUAUUGGAUUUAUGCAGAAACCUCCAAUUAGCGCAAUAGGGAUGCAACGACAAUCGCUAGAGCGACAUGGUGGCAUCUCAAAUGGCGAACAAAUACCCGAACAGUCUGCUGCUAUUACCAGCUUCUUCAUAGAGAACGUUGCUGUAAAUAGAAAAAGGCAAUUAGAGUUGGAAGAAUACAUGCAAUUAUAAAUAGAUAUGACCAAUAUGUAUAUAUUGAUGAGAAAUAUAUCUAAAAUACAUACAGAAUAUGGCAAGCAAGAAGACAACCAAAGGAAUGAGCCUAACAUAAGCCAUUUUUUAUCGAUAAAAAGAACCAACUAUAUGACUUUGUGUUAUAAGCUUAGUUUUGUGUUGCAUUAGUUUAAUCUUGUAUGUAACAAUUUAUAGAGAUACUUCAUGAAAAUAAUGCUCCUAAAUUGCUUAAUACUUUAAAUUGAAGAUAUACAUUUUUCACCGAACACCACAUUACCAAAAAAGUGUGUCCUAAGCAAUUCGUAUAUCACAUCAAACUCUCUUCUAGAAUUGUUUUUGUGGGAAAUCAUCUAUGUGCUUUUCUCUGGCUUUUGGCAAGAUUGAUCUCUUUAUCAGUUAUCACCUUUGGCCAUUAUUUUUUUUUUUGUGUCCGGGGUUCAAACCCCGACAUUGCAUAUAUUAUAACCUUUGACUAAUGUGUCUCUUACAUUUAGACCUAACAUUUUCAAUAAAAUAUUGCAAGAUGGUUACUUACUUAUUUUGUUUGAUGGUUAAAUUUAGGAGUGACAAAAUGUACGGGUCAUGUGAUUAAACCGUCCAAAGUGGUGUGGGUUAACUUGGAUGGUUGAGUUGAAACUCUCGGUCUUUUUGAAUGUGGAUCUUACUAUUUUUAUGACAUUAAUUUUUAUUUUUUACCAAAGACAUUCAUUAAUUGUAUAUAAAAUGCUCAAGUGAUAAAGAGUUGCCGGCUUAUUAUCUUUGAUUAUAGACUGAAGUUAAAUAAUCAACUAUAUAUCAAGAAGAAAUGCAAGAAUUAGCUUUGUACAAGGAACACAAACAAAACAGUAAAAUGCGAAAUACAUGCAAACGAUAGUUGAAAAUAUAUAUACGGUUGAGAUUCUAUUCUUCCUUUUCAUUUGUAAGUGAAUGGUAACAAUAAGCAUUACCUAACUAAAAUCAUAUUUUUUUACAAUCACAAAAAAAAAAUUAGGGAACAGAAAAUAUUUAAAGUUAAGAACAACAUGGAAAAACAUACUCCCUCCGUCUCAUAAUAAGUGAGUUUUUGUAAAAAAAUAUUGUGCUAAAAUAAAUUACUCAUUUCACUUUUCAAUGCAAUAUUAAUUAUUUUUUUCUAAAUAUAACUCUAAUUAAAACUACUUUCAUCACUUUCAAUUAAAUAUAUUCUAGUAGUAGAAUAAUUCUACUUUGUAUUUUGUUAAUGGUUAGUAUUUUGUUAAUGGUUAGUUAAUGCACUAAUAUUUAACAGGAGCACUUAAACCAAUUUUUCUUUUUCAUUCACUAAUAUAUUUUUCUUAAUAAGUGUGCAAUGAAUAAAGGAUCACUUAAAUUUGUACGUCAUUUUUUAUAUUACAUUGAUCAAUUUUUGAAUUGUUGAAUCUGAUUUGUUUUGAAACCUGAUGAUGCUCUUGCAAUGAAUUGAAUUUCUGAAUUGAAUUUGAUUACUUUCCAAUCGAUGGUAUCUCAUGAUUUGCAAUUUGAGUUAAGAGUUUAUGAUUUCUAAAAUCAAGUUCUCCUCACCCAUCUUUCUCUGGCCAACAUUAUUUACCUUAUAUUUAUAGCAAAAUGAUAAAGAGUGCCCUUAGGCUUUGCUUGCGAGUUUAGAAAUGAAGGGAGGGAUUUGUAAAAUGACUAAUAAAGGACCCUAAAAAUAUGAUAAGACAGACUUCUCCACAAGCUACUUAACAAUUCUAUAUGAACCCCACCCCCACCUCCACACACACAAAAAAAAAAAAAAAAAAAAAAAAAAAACCCGAAGUUCCAUCUAAUUCCACUAUAACCCUGUGUCUUAAAAGAUCUACCAAGUAGAAAAUUUAUCUAGGAAGAGCUUCCAUGAGCUAACAUGAACCUUAGAUGGUGUCCAACCUUUUCGGACCAAUGAUAUCAAUGUUCCACAAAUCGCGUGUCAACUCGGCGAGUUUACCGAGUUUACGUGUUUAGGUGCUAAAAACGUGUUAACUCGGAGGUAAACUCGAUUUCUGGUAAAAUCGGAAAGUUUGACGAGUUUGACCGAGUUAACACUCAGUAAACUCGUGUAAAAUCGGGCGAGUUUACCGUUUUUUGCGAGUUUACUCCUGUAUUUUUUUUCUUCAAAAAUGACCCUUUUUUUUUUUUUGCCCAUUUUUUUCAAGCCCAAACUUUCUACGUUUCAACUGAAGUGAAAAUUACUACAGGGUCCCAUCUAGAUUUUAACGUUUCGUUUCAUUUUCUUUUCGUUUUCAAGAACAGGGGGCGGUGGAGAAACCUGGAAAUUCUGACGAUGGAGAAACAUUGAAAUUUCGAUUCCAAUUCCGAUUCUUUGCGUUUUCGAGUUGGGUUGCGGUGUUAUUGUGGUGGUGUUUGUUGUCAGCUGUAACGUUAGAUUAUAAGGCAUAUAUACAAUCUUGUUUGAACGAAAAACAGAGCUUCAAAGUUCAGAUUCAGACUCUCUUUUUCCUUUCCUUUAUUGUUUCUUUUAUCAUCAAAGCUUCAAAAGGCAUCUUUUCUAGAUAGUUGUUACAUGUUAUUGUUAGGGUUUUUAACUUUGAUCAUCAGGUUUCUAUUUCUGUUUCUAUUUCUAUUAUUUAACAUAGAUUACAUGUUUUUUUUCUUCUAAAUAGCGGUGUUACACUGUUACUGGUUUAGUUUAGGCAUCUCGUGAAUUUGUGAACGUGCAUUUUUUCUAAAUAACUUAUUACUGUUUGUUAAUAUUCAGAAGCUUGUUAUUUAAACUUGGUUAUGUUUUGUUUUCUAGGUCAGAACCAUGUUUUGUUUUCUAACUUAUUACUUUGCAUUUAUAAUUAAGUCUAUAUUUUUCACUAUUGAUCUUUUUACAGUAUUAUAUUAGCUUACAUAUGUCAUGCAUAUAAUAAAUUGUAUAAAAUUUCAAUUUUAGGUAAACUCGUACGAGUUUACGAUUCGAGUUUACGAGUCGAGUUUACCUAGGUAAAACGAGUUGAGGUAAACUCUCGAGUUGCAAAACCUUGAAUGAUAUGAUAAAAUAAAUAUCCCCACCCUAUCCCUUUCUUGAGAGACAAACCUAAGAGGUAACCACAUGCCAAGAAAUCCUCCUCGAACUCAGCUUCCAAGACCAAUAAUCAUCCCCCUCUAACAACGAUCAAGCUUCCAUCACACCCAACAUAGCAACUAAGACUCAUUAUCUAAAUGUUUUAACCAUUUAUUUUAAAUAAAUAAAAAGAAUCCUUACUGUUUAUAGUUUUGGGACCAAGAAAGACCUUUCGAGGAGUUUGUUUGGUUGGUCAAACAUAUUGAUUAGGCGCACACACAACAACAACAACAUAAUUUUUUAUAUUUUUUUUAUUGAUGUUUAUUAUUUUGUGUUUAGUUUAUGCAUUUUGUUUUGUGACAUGCAACCAGCUCCCUUCUUAUGGCUAUAUAUAUAUAUAUAUAUUAUAUAUAUAUAUAUAUAUAUAUAUAUAUAUAUAUAUAUAUAUAUAUAUAUCACACCAUUACUAGUAACAUUCCCCUCGCUUAAAUAUAGACAACAACAACAAAAAUUUGUUUUUCUUUUUUAUUGAUGCUUAUUAUUUUUGUUUAGUGUAUGCAUUUUGUUUUGUGACAUGCAACACCAGCUCUAUUCUUAUAGUUAUAUAUAUCACACCAUUACUAGUAACAUCCCCGACGACAACAACAACAACAAUAAUUUGUUUUUUUUCUUUAUUGAUGUUUAUUAUUUUGUGUUUAGUUUAUGCAUUUUGUUUUGUGACAUGCAAUACCAGCUCUCUUUUUAUGGUUAUAUAUAUAUAUAUGUAUAUAUAUAUAUAUAUAUAUAUAUAUAUAUAUAUAUCACAUCAUUACUAGUAACAUCCCCCUCGUUUGAUUAUAGACAACAACAACAGCAACAACAACAAUAAUUUGUUUUUCUUUUUCAUUGAUGUUUAUUAUUUUGUGUUUAGUUUAUGCAUUUUGUUUUAUGACAUGCAAUAUCAGCCCCCUUUUUAUGGUUAUAUAUAUAUAUAUAUAUAUAUAUAUAUAUAUAUAUAUAUAUAUAUAUAUAUAUAUAUCACAUCAUUACUAGUAACAUCCCCCUCGUUUGAUUAUAGAAAAUAACAACAGCAACAACAACAAUAAUUUGUUUUUCUUUUUUAUUGAUGUUUAUUAUUUUGUGCUUAGUUUAUGCAUUUUGUUUUGUGCCAUGCAAUACCAGCUCCCUUCUUGUGGUUAUAUAUAUCACACCAUUACCAGUAACACCCCCCUCACUUGAUUAUAGACAACAACGACAACAACAAUAAUUUGUUUUUCUUUUUUAUUGAUGUUUAUUAUUUUGUUUUUAGUUUAUGCAUUUUGUUUUGUGACAUUCAAUACCAGCUCCCUUAUUAUGGUUAUAUAUAUCACACCUUUACCAUUAACAUUUUGAUAGCUAGUACUCCACUUUUCCAUUUUCUCAUCAUAAAAAAUUAUGUCUUCCUCAUUCUUUGCUUUGAGAAAAAUUUCUUCUUUCUAUGCCAAACCUUCCAACACAAAAUCAUCACAACCAAACAUCUCAUACAAAUCAACUAUCUUACCCUUCCCUUCACUCACUACAACAACACUCAACAACCUAAACAUUAAUACCUCACUACACUCUUACCAAUCAAACAAGUCUUUCAUUUGCAAAAGUCAAGAUCAAUCAUCUAACUCAGGUUCACUCCUUAUAUCUUUCUUGUUUGUUUGUCAAGGAACUAUGAUGGAAUUCGUUGCUUGUUAAUAAUAUCUAUGUUGACCCUUUGAUUUUUUUUUUUUUUUGUUGCUUGAUUAAUAGUCAAAGUACAAGAACUUAGUGUUUAUGAGAUCAAUGAAAAAGAUCGUGGAAGCCCUGUUUAUCUUAGAUUGAGUCAAAAAAAUGUCAACAUACUUGAUGAUCUAAUUUCAUUUAGCAACAAGGUGAGUUGGUUAUCAUUAUUUUGGUCUUUCUUAAAAAUAUCUGCACAAUUGUGACACGAACUAUAACCCAACAAUUUAAUUUUAAAAGUUUUUAUUUGACGGAAAAAAAAUUAAAAGGAAAAAGCAUGUCAAUUAAGUACUCCAUAUAAGAAAAGUAUUUAUUGUUUUUUGAGGUAUAUAAGAAAAGUAUAUAUUGUUUUUUAGGGGAUAAAAAGUAAAGAAUUGUGCUAACGCUCUAAAAAUUAAUUUUUAAAACUAAAAUGUAAAUAUUGAUUUUUGAGGUUUUUACAAAUAGAAAGUACUCCCUCCAUCCCCUUAUGUUAGCCCCUUUUGCUUUUUUCACAUUUCUUAAAAAAAGUUGUCAAUGUAAUUAAUGUGUGUUUUGUGUGUUAAUAUUAUUAAAUUGUCAUUUGUUUGUAUGUGUAUUAAAUUUGACUUUUUAAAUUUCAAGACAAGAUAAUUGUAUUAACUAGGAGUAUGUUUAGGAAAAAAAUAAUAAAUGCAUCUAGUAAGUUGAAAAGGGGUUUACAUUUAAAGACAAAAAUAAAAUCAAAUGGGUGCUUAGAUAUAGGGACAGAAGAAAAUAUUAUUAAUUGAUAAAAAUUAAUUUUUGACUUUUUUAGAAAUAAUUUGGAACAAUUUACGAAACAAAUUUUUAACAUUGAGUUUCUUAACCUGUGUCAUUAAAACACAUGUUAGCAUUUCCCAAAAGUAAGCUAGUUCCUAAAAAAUACUCCCUCCGUCUCAAAUUGUAUGACGUUUUGGACAUUUCACACAUAUUAAGAAAUGCAAUUAAUAUUGUGUGAAAAAAUAGAUAUUAUGAGUUGUUUUACAAAAUUGUCCUUAAUAAAUAACAUGGGAAAGAUAAAUGAAAGAAUUGAAAGAAGAUAUAGUAAUAAAUAGUUAAGGUUAUAAUAGGAAAAGUAACAUUAAUGUUGCAUUGGUAUUGUAAAGCGACAUAUAAUUUGGAACAAAUUUUUUUCCCUGGAGUAUGAAGUAAAUAUUAUUAGUAUUUAUAAGACCAACACACAUGGAUUGGUCUAGUGGUGUUGCCUCGAGAUAUUGGAGUGUACUACUAUUAAAAACCAUAAAUAAGUGAUGUAUACACGAGAUUUAUUUAAGUACUCCAUUCUAAUAGUAUUAUAUUGAAAGUUGUGAAAUCAAUGCCUCAAAAGUCUAAAUUAUGUCAUUUUUAAUUUUUUUUUUUUUUUUUUUUGCUUCUUUAACCGGUUCUUGUGAACCAAUUAGGAUGACCCUUAUUUUUUAAAGGUAAUAUUGUCCAUUAGAAACUACAAACUUUGCAUCAUGUAGGCCUAAUUUAUGCAAAUUUAAAAAAAAAUAACUAAAAAUUAGAAAUUAGGAUUGUACCAACAAAAUAUAGAAUUAGGAUAAAGGUAAAGGAAUUUAUUUGAUUUUGGGGUUAUGGAAUUUGCAGUUGUACUCAGGAUGUUUACAAAAGAGGGUAGGAAUAACAGCUGGAAUAUGUGUUUUGAUUCAAAACAAAGCAGAGAAAAAAGGGGACAUAUAUGAAGCAAUAUAUAGUUUUUAUUUUGGAGAGUAUGGUCAUAUUUCUGUGCAAGGUUCUUAUUUAACUUAUGAGGAGGAUACUUAUUUGGCUGUGACUGGUGGAACUGGAAUAUUUGAAGGUGUUUAUGGUCAAGUUAAGCUUCAUCAAAUUGUGUUUCCAUUUAAGAUAUUUUACACAUUUUAUCUUAAGGGUAUUAAGGAUUUGCCACAUGAGUUUCUUGUUAAUCCUAUUGAGCCUAACCUAGCUGUUAAGCCAAGUUUAGAUGCCAAAGAUUAUGAGCCUCAUGCUGUUAUUGCUGGUUUCACCAACUAAUUAAGAAAUGGUGGUAAUUAAGUUUGGAUUUAAAACUUAAAAAUGUUAUUAACUUUAUGUUGUGUAAAAGUAUACUUUCAAACAAUUUUCUUUUUUUCUUUUUCAAGUAGUCUAAUAAGGUGUCCGAGGUUCAAACCUCAGCCCCAACAUAUGAUAGGUAAUAUACAUACUAAUUGAGUUAAGUUCACAAAAAUUAUAAUUUUUUUUUCUAGUUUGAUAGCGAGUGUGAGAAGACAUGGUCUUUAUACUUAAUAUCCGAUUUGCAUUUAUCAUUUAUUAUCAUUUUUUUAAAUCUAAUUUAGCUUAGCAAUCAUAUAUUGUGAGUUUAUUAAUUUUGUAAAAAAUAGCAUAAAUACGAAUCACUUGAAAGAAACUACUUUCUAUUGAUAUCUAAAACAGUUUUAACCAAAUCUUAUAUAUCUUACGUUAAAUUUUGUUACUUCCACUUAAUAAUCCACGGGUUUCGAUAAAAUAAGGGUUAUGAUAACCGAUGCCUCCGGGGCACUGGUUAACGAUACUAAAAUGAAAGUUAUUACUUAAAAAAGAAAUUUGUUUUGACUUUUUAUAAAUUAAUUAAAUUUUCGGGUAGCAUUUCGAUGACUUUGUGUUUGGUGAUUUUGUCUCUAUCUCUAUCCUAACCAAUAAUUAUCUCUCAUCAAAAUAAUUUAUUUUAAUCACUCAUCUAUCGUUCUCUCUCAUCUAAAAUACACUAAAGUCACCAAAGUCACAUAACACAAAGUCACUGAAGUGCUACCCACAAUUUUCAAUGCAAUAACUACUAUAAAAUUCCUUUUUUGGUAGCUUUAGGCAUUGUCCCAAGAGCACCGGUUAGUAUUUCCCAUAAAUAAUUGUUGUUAAAUAUUGCAUGUGCCACGAAGCAUUAAAUUAUUGUGAAGAUGUUGUUUAGUUUAUUGAAUCAAAUAAAGAAAAUGCUAACUUGUGAUUUAAGAGCAUCCACAAUGGCGAUUCUCAUCUUUGAGGUCUUAAAUGUGUCCCACAUUGAUACAUUAUUUUUUAAUACUUUUUUAAUAAUAGUACCUAAUAGGUACUCAACCACUCCAAUGGAAACCCUCUAACAAAAGGUCUAAUUGGGUCCCACCAAUAUUAUUGAUUUAAUACACUAUCUAUUUUAGUACACUUUUUAAUUAUUAUUUUAAUAAAAAGGUAGUGUGGGUCCAUUUAAGAAUGAGGUCUUAGUUUAGACCUUGCAUCUUUUAAGGCCCUCAUUUUUUUUCACAAUGGGGAUACCUAUUAGGUACCAGGUCUUAAAUGUUUAAGACCCUCCCAUUGUGGAUGCUCUAAGGCAUAAGUUGGUAAACUAAAGAUAGAUGUUUUUUCUUGGAACUUGUGUAUUUAAUGAUGUAAAAGUUUAAGAACUUAUAUUUUCAAUAUAAUUUUUUUUACUAUUUCGUUUUUUAAUUCGUGCCCUUAGAACACAAGUUAACAUGACACAUCAAAUAAUAAUUUUGUUUUAUGCAAGAUCUUGUUGUGAUUCUUGUCUUUGGCGUGUUGGUUUUUUUUUUUUUUUGACAAGGUGUUGGAUUUUAUUUAUGACUCCAUAAUGUCAAUGUAUGUAAUAAAUUCUUCGAUAUCUUAAAAUUUGAUUGGGUAUGGAUACCUUGUAAAAAAAAUCAUUUAAAAUUUAAACAACUUGAUGAGUCAAUAAUUAGUAGUUUUAAUAUAAAUAUUUGAUUUCGUUUUAUUUAGAUUUAAGUUUAUUUUAUUUAAAUAUUAUUUCAUUUUAGAACUAUUUUACUUCAAUUGCAUAUUAUUAUAUUUUAUGAACGAAUAUUUGAUAGAUUGAGUCUUGGAGCAAAAGAAAGAGGAUUAGAAGCUGAUUCAGGAUGAAAAUACGAAAUAUGGGACAAAAAUAUGUCACUCCCCAAGUUAGAGAGGAGGCACGACCCGUGCCACUAGCAGCACGGUCGUGCCAAGCUUCAGGAUUCUCUUUUGCUUCUUUUGCUUCGGAAACAAGCUAUCUAUUUUGACCGAAAAGCUCGUGGUUUCUUGUAGAACAUUCUAGUGAAUAGUUGCUUAGGUUUUAAGUCGACAUAAGACUAUAAAUAGAGUAGCUAGCUAUCACAACAAUUCAUCUUUUGUUCUUGGAAUAAAAGUUCACCUUUAUUUUACUAUUAUUUACUUUUAUGUUCUUCUUCUUCUUCUUUUUCUCUUCUAUGUCUACAAUGAACGUGAGUGAGUAGACUCUUCUUGUCUUGGGAUUGUUGGAUAAGUCAAAUGACAUAAUCCUAAUCAAACCAAGCCUUAAACCCUAAUUUUAUGUAACCCUAAUUUCUAAUCUAAAUUCACCGUUUUAAUAUGAAUUAACAAUUAUCAAACUGUAGAAGCGAAAGUGGAGGGUUAGUAAUUGUUAAUUCAUCAUAUCAAAUAUCAAUUCGUAAAACGAAAGUGGAGUUUUGGUAUUCGCACAAGUGAAUUUAGACAAGGAUUGCGAAACAUGAAAAUAGUCUAGCAAACCUUGAGACAUAUAAAGUUUUGAACUUCAAGGAUUCUAAUAGCAAUCAACCAUGAAAAUAGGUGUGGUUGCUAGAGGAACACACUCAUUGAGACCGAAAGGAGAUGUGAUAGACUAAAGAGAAACUUGUAUUUAGAAAAUAGGUAUAACAUAAAGUUCUAGGUUUAAAGGUUUGGUUUGUGAAGGAUUUGUCAUCAUGACGGACCAAUGAUCUUAAGGCACCUUUUUAUUAUUAUUGUUAUUUCUUUUUAAAAACAAAAUCCAAACUUUUCAACUAAAACUCUUUUCUAAUCAUUAUUGAAAGUUAAUUGAAUUCAUAACUCCCUGUCGAAACAAUUUACUUUUAUUACUACUUCGGUAGAACCGUGCACUUGCGGUUUUACUCAUCACAACUCCAAUCCCAAAUGAACUCGCUCAGAUAACUCACUCGUCUGCGCCAUCAUCACCAAUGGCCAAUGACGUCUUCCACACCACUCAACAACAGUCGCCCUCUUCAUAAACUUCCAAUGAGCUCGACCAACCCACUCAAUCAUCUUCACCCUCUUCACCAAACUCCAAUGAGGUCGCCCAAAACAUUCAAAUGUCCUCGCCCACGUCCUCAACAUCCAAUGAAUUGGCCCACAUCACUACAUCGCCAAUGCCUCCAGCACCGCCCCCACCCACUCCUCGCCCACACAAAAACUGGUAAUCCAACGUCGAUGGGAUAAUCACCCGGUCUCAAAACAACAUUGUUAAACCCAUCAAAAAGCUUAACCUUCAUGUUCGCCCCUUAUUUCCCAUCGAACCCAACAAUAUGACUCAAGCCCUUCGUGACCCUGAUUGGCGCUCGGCCAUGCAAGCUGAAUUUAAUGCCUUACACAACAAUAACACAUGGGAUCUUGUUAAUCGGUCCUCUGCUCAGAAUUUGGUUGGGUGUAAAUGGGUUUUUUGUAUCAAACGAAAUCAGGAUGGCUCCAUUGAUCGUUACAAGGCACGACUACACGGAAACACCCUGGUUGUUUGUGACUACACGGAAACAUUCAGUCCAGUUUUAAUAAAGAAGAAGAAGAUAAAAAUAAUCUAGGAGGGAUACCACAUUUUUGAAUAGAAUGACCCAUGUUCAUAUCCAUUUAUAAAUUGAAUACCAAAUUUCCGCAACAAAGUUACAUCUACAAAACAAGUGAUCCUCCAUCUCUCGAAUCCCCCAUACACCACACAUAAUCCGAACAAACACCACCCACUAAAACUCCUCUUCUAGAUAAAUUUGAUUGAGUCUACCAAAAAUUGCUUGUCAAGAGAAAAUUUGAACCUUUUUGGAGGCAAACUCGACCAUAUUCCCCUAAACCCCCUUCUUGUUGCCAAUCUCGGCAAUAAGCAUUUUCUAACAAAAAUCAUUUUCUUUUUUUGCAAUCAUAAAAAAUAUUUAAAGUUAAGAACAACACAAAAAACAUUUUUAAAAAAAAAACAUGGAAAAACAUACCUAAAAAAAGGGAAAAACAUAACAAGUAAACCUUACUUUUGGUCAAAAUAAAUAAAGGUCAUGCUAACAAAUUUGACACUUGAAAUUAACAAUUUUUAAAUUUACAACUUUUAAAGAUCAUGCUAAUAGGUUUGUAUUGGAAUUUACAACUGUUAAAUUUUUGAGAAGUUGAAUUCAUCACUUUUUACCACUUUUUUAACAGUGAAAAAUGCUAACUUGUGUACUUGGGGCAUAAGUUAAAAGGCUAAAUAUAGGGAAAAUUUUUGGAAAUUAUACAUUCAAUGCAUUAAAAGUUUCAAAAGUUGUAUUUUCAAUAUAAAAGUUACUUUGAAUUUCCAUUUUAACCUUUAAUAUAUUUCUAUUAUUAUUUUCUUACCCAAUGUCCUCCCAGGAUAUUCUUUAAAAUUUUCCAAUAAAUAUUUACACAUUUUUUUCUUUAAAAAAAAAAAUCACCGAUUCAAUUCACAUUGAUUAGAAUUCAGCACAACCAGAAAAAGAAAAAUGAAACAAGAGUAUAUAAAUUGAAAAAUUGACAAUUUAUAUGUCCUGACAUACUGUCUCCGGUCACUAUUAUAAGCAAAAGUCAACUUUUAAAAUUUAUUAAAUAAAUAAUGUAUUUGCUCAAUAAUAUAAACUAAAUACAACAUUUAAUGAAUGAACCUAAAAAAUUGAUUUGUGUUUAUAAUAGUGACCAGAGGGAGUAAGAGAUAAGCCUUAAUAUGAAAUAAUGAAUUUGAGAUUUAUUGCUCCACCUAGGGAUGAUAAUGGGAACGGAUAGUAAGUAUUGUUUGGUCAUACAUAUUGAUUAGGCACACACAAACACAUUAAAGAUACACUUUCUCUAAUGUUAAUAAGUUCUUUUUUAUUGAUCUUUAUUAUUGUGUUUAGUUUAUGCAUUUAGUUUUGUGACAUGCAAUACCAGCUCCCUUCUUAUGGUUAUAUAUAUAACACCAUUACUAGUAACAUCCCCUCACUUUUCCACUUUCUCAUCAUAAAAAGUUAUGUCUUCUUCAUCCUUUUCUUUGAGAACAAUUUCUUCUUUCUAUACCAAACCUUCCAAUACAAAAUCAUCACAACUAAACAUCUCAUCCAAAUCUACUAUCUUACCAUUCUCUUCACUCACUACACCAACACUCAACCUAAACAUUAAUACCUCAUCAUUAAACUCUUACCAAUCAAACAAGUCUUUCAUUUGCAAAAGCCAAGCUUAUCAAUCAUCUAACUCAGGUUCACUCCUAACAUCUUUCUUUCUUGUUUGUUUGUUUGUUAAGGAACUAUGGAACUUGCUUGUUAAUAAUAUCUAUGUUGACCCUUUGAAAAUUUAUUUUUUUUGCUUAAUUUGUAGUCAAAGUGCAAGAACUUAGUGUUUAUGAGAUCAAUGAAAAAGAUCGUGGAAGCCCUGCUUAUCUUAGGUUGAGUCAAAAAAAUGUCAACACACUUAAUGAUCUAGUUCCCUUUAGCAACAAGGUGAGUCGGUUAUAUCACUAUUUUGGUCUUUAUUUUUUUGUCUAAAUAAUCACAUUGUGUAAUAAAUAUUUUUUAGAGCUUUUAUUACUAGUUGCAAUUUUGGGUUUAAACUUUAAAGUUUCUUUUUUCAAUUUUGGGUAAAACUUAUUUUUAAGUUUUAAGUUAGUACAUAUUCUAAAACAAAGAGUUUGACAAAUCGCAUUGACACCAUGAUUUUGUUAAUUGCGAAAAGUAAUCUUUGUCAAAUUUAUGUUUGCAUGUUGUGAUUUUGAGAUACUCAAUCUUAAUUCAAGGAUGCACUUAUAGUUGAUUUUUUGUUUAUUUCAAUUUACUUGAAUAUAAAUAAAUUUAUAUAAAAUAUAAGUGUGACUCAUGGUGAUCCAUACAAAAAAAAAAAAAGCUUGCCUCGUGGCUCAUAUAUUUUUUUUGAGAAGUCCUCGUGGCUCAUAGUCAUACAUAAUCUGCUGCACAAUUAUGACACGAAUUAAAACCCAAAAGUUAUUUUUUAAAAUUUCUAUUUGACAACAAAAAAGUUUAUUUUAAAUAUAAGAAAACGUAAAUAUUGUUGGGAUCCAUAUAAGAAAAGUAAAUAUUGUUUUUUAAGGGCUAAAAAGUAAAUAUUGUUAGUCCCGUGAAAAAUAAGAAGUAAAUAUUGCUAGUAUUUAUAAGGCGUCUCGUCAGUGGCAAGAAUCUAACUCUGUGUCCUCAUGAGUAGGGAUGGUAAUUGGAUCCAGAUUCUAUGGGCAUCCGCAAAAAAUACCCGCUAUGGGUAGGUAAAACCCCGUUUUUAUGGAUCCGGACUUGGGUAUGAGUAAUUACCCGCAAAUUUAUAUGGAUAAGGGCACUGUACUACCCAGCUUCGCAACCCGCAUAUAUGUAUUUAUAUAAUAUUAUAAAUAAUUUAUUUAUUUUUGGUGUACAAUUAAUUAAUAAAUUUAACUAUUUAAGCCUAACCUUACACCUAAAACAGAUUAAUAAAAACUUUAGUAACAAUUUAUUAUGAUUUUAACAUGCAACUACAACUUUUUAACGUAUAACUGAUGUAAGGUAUCAAUUUUUUUUUCUUUCCGGAAAUAAUUUGGAUGUUUUUUUAUUUGGUUAAAUAUUACGAUUCAUAUUAUUUCGUAAGUUGAUUUAAAAAAAUUUAGAUCAUAGUUUUAUUUCAAGUGUGGUGUUUUUUAUUAUCUUUCCAUGGCUAAAGUGCGGGUAUGGACAUUUAAGUGCCCAUAAGGUAUGGGGAAGGGCACUAAAGAUGUUGCCCACGAGGGUACGGGUACGGGUACGGGCAUUUUUUACAAACGCGGGUAUGGGGAUGGAUACUAUAGUACCUUACCCAUUGGGUACCCAUUGCCAUCCCUACUCGUGAGCUUAACUCAGUUAACAUGGACAAUACAUAAUAUAUGUAAAGGUCGUGGGUUCAGACGCCGGACACCACAAAAAAAAUCUAAUUUUGUACAAAUAACAACUUGUAUUAUUGUGUUUUUUUUUUUUUUUGAGGGAAACUUGUAUUAUUGAUGAUAUGACUUGAACCCCACUUAUUAAAAUUUUUGGAUUCGUCAGUGCAUGUAUGCUUUAUUGAAGUAAAUUUAAAAAAAAAAAAAAAAAACUAAAAAUUAGAAAUUAUGAUAAAGUAUUUUUAUUUUUUAUUUUUGGGGGUGUGGAAUGUGCAGUUGUACUCAGGAUGCUUACAAAAGAGGGUGGGAAUAACAGCUGGAAUAUGUGUUUUAAUUCAAAACAAAGCAGAGAAAAAAGGGGACAUAUAUGAAGCAAUAUACAGUUUUUAUUUUGGAGACUAUGGUCAUAUUUAUGUACAAGGUUCUUAUUUAACUUAUGAGGAUACUUACUUGGUUGUAACUGGUGGAACUGGAAUAUUUGAAGGUGUUUAUGGUCAAGUUAAGCUUCAUCAAAUUGUGUUUCCAUUUAAGCUAUUUUACACAUUUUAUCUUAUGGGUAUUAAGGAUUUGCCACAUGAAUUUCUUGUUGAUCCUAUUGAGCCUAAUGAUGUUAUUGCUUGUUUCACCAAUUAAUUAAGAAAUGCUGUUAAUUAAGUUUGGAUGUAAAAUUCAAAAAUGUUAUUAACUUUAUGUUGGCUAAAAGUAUACAAUAAAGUUUAUGAGACGAUAAGUAAAUGUGGUUGUUUAUAUAUGUAAAAGAAUGUUUGUGUUUGUUAGUUGAGCCGAUCAUUAUACUUAAUAUCCAAUUGCAUUUAUUAUUUAUUAUCAAUCAUUUUUCUUAACACAAAUGCUAAUGAGCACGACAACAAUUUGUCGUGGAAUCCACACAACAACAUAUUAUAUGAGCGCACAAUUUCAGAUCUUAUUCAUUUAUUUCAAUUAAAAUUUAUUUAGAUCUAUAGCAUACCUUACUUAGUGGGAUAAGACUUAGUUGUUGUUGCUGCAUUUUAAUUAAAAUUUAUUUAAGCAAUGAGGUUAUGCCAAAUAACAUGUCGUGCGGGUUGUGUGGUGAAUAUUGUCGUGCACAAUAACACUUCUCUUUUUUCUAAUUCUAAUUAGCUUAUCAAUCAUAUAAUGUGAGUUUAUUAAUUUUGUAAAAAAAUAGCAUAAAUACCAAUCAUUUGAAAGAAACUAAUUUCUAUCGAUAUCUAAAACUGUUUAUAUAUCUUUGGUUAAAUUUUGAGUUCUUGUCCCUAUUAAUUUCCCAAGACCCGGAUGAUUAAGACUAAAAUAAAAGUUUACAAUUUGAUCAUAAUGUGUUUGCUUCCAAUUAUAAUCUAUGGGUCCAGAUUAAAAUAUUCGUUGUCAAAUAUUGCAUGAGUCACGAGGCAUUAUUGUGAAGGUGUUGUUUAGUUUAUUGAAUAAUCAGAUGAUAAUUUCAUUUUAUGCAAGAUCUUGUUGUGAUUUUUGUCUUUGGCGUCUUGGCCUUUAUUUAUGACUCACAUAUAUACAAAAUGCCAAUAUAAAGUAUGUCAUAAAUUCUUAGAUAGCUAUCUAAGAUAUCUUCUUUGAAAAAUAUAAUUAAAUUUUUUUUUUAAGGAAAAAGAGAAUUUAAUUCUUAGAUAUCUUAAAAUUUGAUUGUGUAUCGAUAUUUGUAAAAAUAAUCAUUAAAAAUUUAAAUUUACUUUUAAAAUAAAUUAAUGUAAAAAUAUGACAUGAAAUUGACCGAUUAAAUGAUGGAUAUAUAUAUACCCAAACAAACUCAAAGGGUACUCAAUCAAGGAUAUCUAAGGGUAGUCACCAUGUCAAUGUAUACUUGUUGUCUAUAUGUGAUGUGAGAAUCUUGUCAUUUGCCACACAUGAUUGAUAAUAUAUAUAUACUCCAUCCGAUUCUAUUUAUAUAAUAAGGUUAACUUUUUAGAUACAUUGAAUAAUGUAUGUAUCUAGUCAAGAACCUAAACCAAAUACAUGAAUUAUUUAAUGUAUCUAAAAAGUAAAUUGUUUCUUGUAAAUAGGACUGGAUGAAGUAUUAAUUACGAUGAACAAGUAAGGUGUUUGGGGUUCGAACUCCAACCCAUACCUAUAUAAUGUAAUGUCUCUAAUAAUUGAGUUGAGCUACGUAGAUUGAUUGAUAAUAUAUUAUAUACUCACUCCGUCUCACAAUAAUUAUCUUUUUACCCAUUUUUCUUUUUCUCAAAAUAAUUGUCACUUUAUAAUAUCAAUGCAACAUUUAUUAUUUUUUUUCCAUUAUAAUACCCUUAUUUAUCGAACUUCAUCCAACUUAACUACUCCACUAACUACAAUUAAUAAGGGCGUUUUAGUAAAUGAUAUUAAUUUUACCAUCAAAAUCAACAUAAUUAAUCAUUUUCUUAAUAACCAUGCAUCAAUCUUAAACGACUAUUAUUUAGAGAUGGAGGGAGUAGAAUACAAUAAGUUAAAUGUGGCUAUAUUAUAAGGGUCAUGCUAAUCGGUGCCACCGGAUGACUGAUUAAGGAUAUUAAAAAAGGAAGUUAUUACUAAGAAAUAAAACUUUUUUGACUUUUUAUGAAUUGAUUAUACAAUUUUCAAUGCAAUAAUUCUUACUAUAUAAUUUUCUUUUUUAAUAUUUUAACUAGUGCCCUGGACACCCGUUAGCAUUUUCCAUAUUACAAUGGCACGUUUGUUGGUGUGCAGUUUUUUUAACUCUAAUUAAACAAAUUUUCUUAUUCUUAGGAAUUAAAAACAUGAAGAAAAAUAAUAAUAUUUGUAUAACCAUUUUAACAGUUUUAAAACCACUUCUCUUAUAGUAUUAUUAUAUUUUUAUUUUCUUUCUAUUGCUUUUAUUUUCAUGUUAAUACAUAUAUUUCUUUAUAUAUUUUUUGUUGUUUCAUUUGUUAUCUUAAAAUGGUUGUUUAAAUAAUAUACUUUAAAAAACUGUCUUUUCCUCAAACAAAAAUUAAUUUAAUUUUAUAAAAUUCAAAGGACACUAACAAGGGCUUUUAAAACCAGACCAAACUUUAUCAUAUUAAGUAGAUCUAGAAGAGCAGCAUCACACUGCUUGCAAAGUAACUACAUAUAUUAUACAAGCACAUACAUGCACAUAGAACAUUUAUUGUAGUCGUGGUGGAUAUGUAGAUUUUUUUUUUUUGGUAGUGUGGAUGGAUAUAUAGAAUAUUUUAUUGAUAUUAUAAAGUGACUUAUAAUUUAUAACAAAAUCUUUUUAAAUAGACUUAUAAUUUGGGACGGAAGGAGUAUGCAGUAUGUGUAACUUUGUGUAGCCUUAUAUGAAUUCAUAGUUAGAAAAAAUUUCGAAGAAUACUUCUUGUGCUUUAGAGUUAGAGGCAAAACACCAUCCAUAUUCGAUAUCAAGAUUAGGAUAACGAGCGCAAAAACUCCCACUU